ACAAUGGGCGCAAGCCUGAUGCAGCAACGCGCGUGCGGGAUGACGGCCUUCGGGUUGUAAACCGCUUUCAGUUCCGACGAAGCGCAAGUGACGGUAGGAACAGAAGAAGGACCGGCCAACUACGUGCCAGCAGCCGCGGUGAUACGUAGGGUCCGAGCGUUGUCCGGAAUUAUUGGGCGUAAAGGGCUUGUAGGCGGUUUGUUGCGUCGGAAGUGAAAACUCAGGGCUUAACCCUGAGCCUGCUUCCGAUACGGGCAAACUAGAGGGAUGCAGGGGAGAAUGGAAUUCCUGGUGGAGCGGUGGAAUGCGCAGAUAUCAGGAGGAACACCGGUGGCGAAGGCGGUUCUCUGGGCAUUUCCUGACGCUGAGAAGCGAAAGCGUGGGGAGCAAACAGGCUUAGAUACCCUGGUAGUCCACGCCGUAAACGGUGGGCACUAGGUGUGGGGAACAUUCCACGUUCUCCGUGCCGAAGCUAACGCAUUAAGUGCCCCGCCUGGGGAGUACGGCCGCAAGGCUA
Molecule: ribosomal RNA, 517 nt
Filed under: uncultured Actinomycetes bacterium
Lineage: Bacteria; Bacillati; Actinomycetota; Actinomycetes
Description: bacterial SSU rRNA
Rfam family: Bacterial small subunit ribosomal RNA
Source: RNAcentral